GCGUUGCCUCCCUUUCUCUUAUCUCUCGCGGCUCUCGCAGCUCUUCCCACCGCCGAAUUUUCCUUUCUGGAAGAGGAAGCGUUCCGUAUCCCCGAGCGUCGUUAGCUCACUGAUGCACUAUCGCGACGCGCUCUUCGAUAGCCCGUCCGGAAACUCUGCGUGCAACGCGUGCACUCGGCAUAUGCAGGUGGCAUGGAACGAAUAGAAACGUAGCGACCGAUAUAUUUCCGGAUGAUGAUUUACAUCGGCGAAUUCCAGAAUAACUCAACGGUGUGUUUUAUUGGCGUUUUUUUUUUUGUUGUUUCUUCUUCUUUCCUCUCUUUUUUUGGAAAAUUGAUCGGCGCGUCUUCUCGCUCUUUAUCUCGCUCGCACGACGCUGAGCGGCUGCUUAUCGGCCUGCGAGCUGUGGUCCCGUGUGGUCCCGCUUUGAAUAUCGCAUACUGACACACGGUCGAUGGGGUGACCCGGCGGCUAAGCACUUACUCGAUUAGAUUCAAUUCGUUUUAAUUGCGUUUAAGUUCGUUGAAUACUUCCUUUAUCUUCGCGCACGGCUCGCGGCGGCGUCGGCGUCGGGCGUCGGCGUCGGCGUCAGGAACAGCGACUGUCGGUGGAAGAUUGAUACAGGUUCGACCGGCAACGGGAGGCACUGGCUCGCUAGGAACGUGACCUCAUUUCGUGAAUCACCAAUUUUAUAAUAAUAGCUGCCUUUGAGCUUUUCCCGCCACUUUAUUCACCCUCCCUCGCGGAAAGAUCGACGGGCCGACGCGAGGGGGGAGGAGGCGUUGUUUUACUGGCGGUUUGCGUGAUCAAAUCGUACUGACGCCAAUUAAUAGAUAUAACGUCAAUUUGUAAUACGUAUUACGAUUAUUACAUAGGUCGAAGGUUCACCGCGCGCGAAGGAAAAUAAAGCGAGAAACUCUCGCCUUGCGAUGCGCGCACAAGAUAAUGACCGAAUUAUUUAUCGUCCGUCACGACGAUGUCCUUUUUCAUUCGCGAUUACAACCGAUUUAAUUAAUCGUACUGAUUUAAUUGCGAUAAGUCCGCCAGGGAUGACGGAACACACACACACACACAGAGCUUUCGUGACUCGAGCGAUUAUUACGACCGGAGGACGGUAGUUUUCAGAGAAAAAUAAUCGAUUUCUUCUAGGAAACAAAGAGUUCCUCGCCAAGUUUCUUCAAGUUCACCGGUAUUAUUUUCAGCUUCGAUUUACGAUCGACCCCGUUCGAGAUGCGCUCGAGGUGCGACAUUCGUUCGGUGCGUACACGUGGGCGUGCGCGUGAGUGCGUUACAAUAUUUGCACGCUUUAUUUUUUUUUUUCCUUCGUUUUCUCCUCUUAAUCGGCGCGCGUGUAACGUUAUAUAAAUACGAGAUUAUUUCGGUACGGGGAUCCGUGUGUUUGGCGGCACGCCAAGCGUCAGGGAUCGGACUGACUGCACUAAUAACGCGGCCGCGAUACGCACGACGCCGGCUGUUGCAUAACAGGUAGCUGAAGCGGAGGGCGGUACGUGUGGUAGGUACAACUAUUACACGACGACGACGACGACGACGACGACGACGACGACGAUGACGACGACGAUGACGACGACGGCGACGUCGGUCGGCUGGUAUAAUCGCGCGGCUCGUUAUUAUGUAAAUUGCAUUAACGAUAGCAGCACUCCCGGUAAUUUCUAUACUAUAAAGGUAAAAUUGCAUCCACCGGAGAAUUAGAUCCCCAGAGUGCUCCACGUCCACACGCGCUUUUCUACUUUUGAUACUGCAGUCACGAGCGAUUCAGUGCAGCAUUCACGCGCAGGACAUUUUGACACGUGCAAGUGUGUACACUCACGCAGAGACGCACGAGAAUGUCUGAGAAUGUAUAAUAAUUAUCUUGAACAUAAAUUCUGUGGCGAUAAAAGCGAGAGCAGGGAAUAGAAUUCUUCAUGUUAAUUGUUGAAAUUUAGAAAUCGCCUAUAUUUAGAAUUACAAAACUUAAAAUAACGUCGAAAAGUAAAUAAAAGCACGAGCAAUUUCUCCGUCGUUUGUUAAAUGAAGCUGUGGUAACGAAAGAAUGUCAUGUAUUUAUUAUGUACGGUAUAAUGAUAAUGAUCACAUCAGCGAUACACAUGUUAUUUUUUACAGCUAUAAGAUUACAUAGAACGUAACACAACUGAAACCAAUGAGCCUUGAUGGCGAUCGUAAGGUAUUUCACGGAAAGAUUGUGUAAUAUCAACUGUAUCAUAGAUAUUUUAAUUAUAUAAAAAAUUCAAGAUCUGUAUUUAAAUACUUUGCCUAGAAAAAGAAUCUUAAGAAUGUAAUGGAUAUAGAUUUGUUAUAAGCCUUCGCGACGUAUUAUAAUGAUAUCAAAUCAAUUGGCUGAAUUAUGAUCAGUUAUAUGUCUAUGAGGUUCUGUAAAGUUUAAACUAAAGUAAUAAAAUAUAAAAAAUAUUAUCAAUUUAAAUACGAUUAUUACAAUAUUAUUCAUUUUAUGAAAGAAAUAUAUAAUUAAAACUCACGGUAUAAUAAUUUGGAUAGAAUAUAACUUGAUUACGCUUGCAUAUAUAACUUAGUCGAACUGCUACUACAUUAAAAAUAAAAGAUAUAUGCAGGGGAGGGAGGGGGGAGGAUGAUGGGAAGCGAACACGAAAAUAAUAAAUGUGUGACAGAAAUAGCGGGCAAGGGAUAAUUGUGUCUAUGCGUGUCUCUGUAUGCAGAUCUGAUGUAUGAAAGUUCGAUCAGGACAAAAUGUAUUUUGUGAACGAACGGAGCCGAGAUGCGGAUAUACGAACAUUGCCAACGAAAUAAUUACGAUGAUGAUAACGAUGACGAUCGAUACUUUACUUCCGACUACGUCGUGGCAUACGCUACUAUACGUCACGAUGCUCUAAUCGUUAAAAAUAGCGAAGCAGCUAUUCCCACAUAGAAAAUGUUUUGGUAUUUGAGACCCAAUACGAUUUCCCCAAAAAUCAUGAACUCUGCUUGGCAAACAUAUAAAGAUUCAGAUCAGAGGCAUAAUAUUCUUUUACACACUCGAUUAUAAAAAAUAAUAUAGAAAAAAAGAGGAAACAAGAGGUAAGAAAAAAAGAUGGGAGAGAAAGAGAGGAAAAUAUGGGAUAGAGAAGUAAGAGGAAAGAGGAGAGAUUGACAGAAAA
Molecule: long non-coding RNA, 3131 nt
Filed under: Pogonomyrmex barbatus (red harvester ant)
Lineage: Eukaryota; Metazoa; Arthropoda; Insecta; Hymenoptera; Formicidae
Description: uncharacterized LOC105431551
Source: RNAcentral